Molecule: ribosomal RNA, 466 nt
Filed under: uncultured bacterium
Lineage: Bacteria
Description: partial 16S ribosomal RNA
Rfam family: Bacterial small subunit ribosomal RNA
Source: RNAcentral
GACGAACGCUGGCGGCGCGCCUAACACAUGCAAGUCGAACGAGCGAGAGAGAGCUUGCUUUCUCGAGCGAGUGGCGAACGGGUGAGUAACGCGUGUGGAACCUGCCUCAAAGAGGGGGACAACAGUUGGAAACGACUGCUAAUACCGCAUAAGCCCACGGCUCGGCAUCGAGCAGGGGGAAAAGGAGCAAUCCGCUUUGAGAUGGCCUCGCGUCCGAUUAGCUAGUUGGUGAGGUAACGGCCCACCAAGGCGACGAUCGGUAGCCGGACUGAGAGGUUGAACGGCCACAUUGGGACUGAGACACGGCCCAGACUCCUACGGGAGGCAGCAGUGGGGAAUAUUGCACAAUGGGGGAAACCCUGAUGCAGCGACGCCGCGUGGAGGAAGAAGGUCUUCGGAUUGUAAACUCCUGUUGUUGGGGAAGAUAAUGACGGUACCCAACAAGGAAGAGACGGCUAACUACGUG